AGAAUGAAGUGAUGUGAAACGACCGUUUAAUGCAUGUUCAUUCAAAGUAACAAUCACUAACACGUGGAUAGACAGACCCAAGUGAGUAAUUAGUGAUUUAUUUGGUCUACUAACAAGCAUUUUCCCCGUCACAAACCAAAUAUUCUCCUACAGCCCAUGCUCUGGGUACGACGAGCAGAUUUGUCUUUCUUGGCUUUUCGAGCACGAGUGUAUGCAGCACAAUGUGACAAUUCUGGUUUCAUUUUAUUUUCAUCAUAACAAGUUCCACAUAACCUGAGGUGUGUCUUACAUCCACCUUUGGGAAUUUGAUCAAWGGAAGACAAGAAACCCAGAAGUCUUGGGCUCUGUUGUUUGGUCAAACUAUUUUUGAUGUACGCCACCAACCAACAAUCCUCAUGGAAUAAAGGUCUUCCAAGGUCUCUACACUGGUCCAGUUUAUCACUUGUGUCUUGCCAUCGUCGAUUGAGAGUUUUGACAACAUAGUUGAUGUCAUGUGCAGAGUCUUCUUCAAUGGCUGGGUGUAGCUGCUUGGUCAAAGUGUUGAUCUUGUCCAUGUAGCAUUGCUUGAUGUCACGUUCUUCGCAUUUGACCUGUGAUGUAACAAGAAUGAAUAUCAUGAUAUAUGGUUGCACUCUACUUUUAAAUUAUGUCUGAGGCCAGAAAAGACAAGCGAUGGACUUUGGAGAAAGGGCAAGUGAUGGACUCGGGAUUAUUUGGUAGGAUUGCAGAAUAUGACACAAUAUCGCCAGCACCAAUACCUUUUCGAGGUCUCGCCAGCACCAAUACCUCCUCGAGGUCUCACCAGCACCACUGCCUCCUCGAGGUCCCACCAGCACAGGUUGUUGCUACCCCCUGCUGACCAGGACCACAGCAGUAAAUUACUGUCCCGACAACAGCCAUCUUAUGAAACCAUACCAGGUGACUCCUCUAAUGGUGAACACUGGUGAUAAGUAUAUCAGACUCUGAACUCCCUACAGACCCAUGAGAGUACCUUGGUGACAAGGCAGCCUUUGUACUGUGAGGAUUAUUGCAAGUAGGAGAAUUACAAAAUAACCACACCCCACCAACCCAUAGGUUUUACUGCACAACAGUGAUUUAUAUAUCUGAGCAAUGUAAUCUAUAAUGUAGAGGGACUGGGUUUUAUUUAUUCAAUUAAGUAUUAAUUUAUUCAUCACAUGGGUGAAUGCGAGGCUGCUGAGCAACUGGGUUUUAUUUAAUCAAAUAAGUAUUUAUGUAUUCAGAGUUUGCUGAGGGACUGGGUCUAUAAUGUAUUCAAUUAAGUAUUAAUAUAUUCAGAGUCUGCUGAGGGACUGGGUCUAUAAUGUAUUAAAUUAAGUAUUAAUAUAUUCAGAGUCUGCUAAGGGACUGGGCCUGUAUUUUAUUUUAUUAAGGAUUACAUGUGUGAAUGGGUGAAUUCGAGGCUAUGUGUGGAGGCAAAUCUAUUGUUCCACGAGGACAUGGUUGCCGCGUGAGUAAGGUUCAUUGAAGGUAAAAUGAUGUCAUCAUGAAAUAAAACAAUGUUUAAAGCAGAA
Long non-coding RNA from Actinia tenebrosa (Australian red waratah sea anemone), 1532 nucleotides. The record is from RefSeq and is a predicted model, not a curated record. Lineage: Eukaryota; Metazoa; Cnidaria; Anthozoa; Actiniaria; Actiniidae.